Molecule: ribosomal RNA, 468 nt
Filed under: uncultured bacterium
Lineage: Bacteria
Description: partial 16S ribosomal RNA
Rfam family: Bacterial small subunit ribosomal RNA
Source: RNAcentral
GACGAACGCUGGCGGCGUGCUUAACACAUGCAAGUAGAACGGAAAGGCCCUGCUUUUGCGGUGUGCUCGAGUGGCGAACGGGUGAGUAACACGUGAGUAUCCUGCCCUUUACUGUGGGAUAACUUCAGGAAACUCGGGCUAUUAUCGGAUAGGAGCUCCUGCUGCAUGGUGGGGGUUGGAAAGUUUCGGCGGUUGGGGAUGGACGCGCGGCUUAUCAGCGUGUUGGUGGGGUAGUGGCUUACCAAGGCGUUGACGGGUAGCCGGCCUGAGAGGGUGACCGGCCACAUUGGGACUGAGAAACGGCCCAGACUCCUACGGGAGGCAGCAGUGGGGAAUAUUGCACAAUGGGCGGAAGCCUGAUGCAGCAACGCCGCGUGCGGGAUGACUGCCGUCGGGUUGUAAACCGCGUUCGCCUGUGACGAAGCGUGAGUGACGGUAAUGGGUAAAGAAGCACCGGCUAACUACGUG